Molecule: unclassified non-coding RNA, 241 nt
Filed under: Hevea brasiliensis (rubber tree)
Lineage: Eukaryota; Viridiplantae; Streptophyta; Magnoliopsida; Malpighiales; Euphorbiaceae
Source: RNAcentral
GGGAAAAUGGAAAAGGACCCAGGUAGGUGGGUAGGUGGGGGCUAUUAAGAGGUUUCAGACAGGUGGCAAACUUUCUGAGGACUGGACGUCCUACGUGGCAUACAGGUGGUCUUGGUCUUUGAAUGGCAUUUUGACCUGGACGAGACAAGUGGGCUAAGGCUGAGUUGACCUUGACAGUUGCGCAUAUCUGCCAUUGGAUUGGAUUUUCAUUUUUAAUUAUGCGAAAAAAUAUUUAAAAAUA